RNAcentral lists this ribosomal RNA (430 nucleotides) under bacterium. RNAcentral describes it as "partial 16S ribosomal RNA". It matches the Rfam family "Bacterial small subunit ribosomal RNA", at positions 355 to 776 of the family's 1533-position model. The record is from RNAcentral.
UGGGGAAUAUUGGACAAUGGGCGCAAGCCUGAUCCAGCCAUGCCGCGUGUGUGAAGAAGGCCUUUUGGUUGUAAAGCACUUUAAGCGAGGAGGAGGCUACUUGGAUUAAUACUCUAAGAUAGUGGACGUUACUCGCAGAAUAAGCACCGGCUAACUCUGUGCCAGCAGCCGCGGUAAUACAGAGGGUGCGAGCGUUAAUCGGAUUUACUGGGCGUAAAGCGUGCGUAGGCGGCUUCUUAAGUCGGAUGUGAAAUCCCUGAGCUUAACUUAGGAAUUGCAUUAGAUACUGGGAAGCUAGAGUAUGGGAGAGGAUGGUAGAAUUCCAGGUGUAGCGGUGAAAUGCGUAGAGAUCUGGAGGAAUACCGAUGGCGAAGGCAGCCAUCUGGCCUAAUACUGACGCUGAGGUACGAAAGCAUGGGGAGCAAACAGG